This 685-nucleotide ribosomal RNA is filed under the name Absidia glauca. RNAcentral's name for it is "SSU rRNA". It matches the Rfam family "Eukaryotic small subunit ribosomal RNA", at positions 800 to 1477 of the family's 1831-position model. The record is from RNAcentral. Lineage: Eukaryota; Fungi; Mucoromycota; Mucoromycetes; Mucorales; Cunninghamellaceae.
UUUUUUAGCANGGGAUAAUGGAAUAGGACUCGAGUCUUGUUUUGUUGGUUUACUUGACAUUGAGAAAUGAUGAAUAGGAACGGUUGGGGGCAUUUGUAUUUGGCCGCUAGAGGUGAAAUUCUUGGAUUGGCCGAAGACAAACUACUGCGAAAGCAUUUGACCCAGGACGUUUUCAUUGAUCAGGGACUAAAGUUGAGGGAUCGAAGACGAUUAGAUACCGUCGUAGUCUUAACCACAAACUAUGCCGACUAGCGAUUGGGUCUUGACCUUUGGUCAGAUUCAGCAGCUUAGCGAAAGUAAAGUCUUUGGGUUCUGGGGGGAGUAUGGGACGCAAGGCUGAAACUUAAAGGAAUUGACGGAAGGGCACCACCAGGAGUGGAGCCUGCGGCUUAAUUUGACUCAACACGGGGAAACUCACCAGGUCCAGACAUAAGAAGGAUUGACAGAUUGAAAGCUCUUUCUAGAUUUUAUGGGUGGUGGUGCAUGGCCGUUCUUAGUUCGUGGAGUGAUUUGUCUGGUUAAUUCCGAUAACGAACGAGACCUUAUUCUGCUAAAUAGCUGGGCCAACUUUUUAGUUGGUAGUAUGGUAACUUCGGUUACCCCAGCUUCUUAGAGAGACUACUGAAUUCAAUUCAGUGGAAGGGGGUAGGCUAAUAACUAGGUCAUGUUGCAUGGCCCCNNUNNA